CCCUGGUGGCUCAGACAGUAAAGAAUCUGCCUGUAAUGCAGAAGACCCAGGUUCGGUCCCUGGACCAGGAA
RNAcentral lists this transfer RNA (71 nucleotides) under Bos taurus (domestic cattle). It matches the Rfam family "tRNA". Rfam says of the family: Transfer RNA (tRNA) molecules are approximately 80 nucleotides in length. Their secondary structure includes four short double-helical elements and three loops (D, anti-codon, and T loops). Further hydrogen bonds mediate the characteristic L-shaped molecular structure. tRNAs have two regions of fundamental functional importance: the anti-codon, which is responsible for specific mRNA codon recognition, and the 3' end, to which the tRNAs corresponding amino acid is attached (by aminoacyl-tRNA synthetases). tRNAs cope with the degeneracy of the genetic code in two manners: having more than one tRNA (with a specific anti-codon) for a particular amino acid; and 'wobble' base-pairing, i.e. permitting non-standard base-pairing at the 3rd anti-codon position. Lineage: Eukaryota; Metazoa; Chordata; Mammalia; Artiodactyla; Bovidae. The record is from Rfam by way of RNAcentral. RNAcentral also lists the same sequence under 5 other names.